This is an RNA transcript of Drosophila grimshawi, 1225 nucleotides long. It is a transcript of the gene named ATR-interacting protein mus304-like, with no coding region annotated. The transcript is spliced from 2 exons. The record is from RefSeq and is a predicted model, not a curated record. Lineage: Eukaryota; Metazoa; Arthropoda; Insecta; Diptera; Drosophilidae.
GAGAAUGAAAAAUUGCACAGACGCCUUAUAGAAAGCAAUAAUCGAGCGGGCGGCAAUGAAGGCGAGGUCAGCCUACUCCGCAAUGAACUCCGACAAGCACGUAAACUGCUUCAAGCUAGCAAGAUCGAAAAGUUUGCAAUAGCUGAAGAAGGGGAAAAGGACUGCAAUAAGAAAGUAGCUGAAGUAUUUAAACUAGUAACAGCCAAAGACGCAGAAUUGAAUUUCACAAAUGUUGCGUUUUCAGAUCUUAAAAUUCGAAACGCAAACAGCAAUGAAAGGAGUAUAUUUAAAAAUAACGAUGUAAUCGUCACCGAUGCUGACGAAUGUCGUAAUUUGCUUCGCAUAGAAGAUUUAUGUAUUGUAAGCCCUUCCACGAAUCAGUUUUUCACCAAACCACACUACGAGUACGCCAAAGAUGCACAUGCAAAGAAACAGCGCACUUUUUUUGAAAUGGAGCUUGAGCAACUUCUAUAUUACGCAAAAGGGUUUUCCGAGCGCAGCACGGUUGAAACGACCACAGGUCGCAUAAUAGAAUCAGUCUGCAGAGUCUUUACCGAGUUUUGGACCUAUACCCAAAGCUUGGAGUUACCACAAAACUGUAUGAUGUAUCCCUAUCAUCGUUUCGACCUACAAUCAGAUCACCGUACUUAUAUGCGAUAUUCAUUAAUUCAACCAGGCGCUUUAUACAACCCAGAGCAAGCCAUCCCAUUACGUCGCUAUGUUGGCACAUUGGCACAGAUUUGUCGAGAACAGAGCAGCAUAUCACAUACAUUGCUUCAAAAAAAGUAUGGUAAAUACUGGGUAUUGCAAAUAGUAAUCGAGGCGAUAACUAAAAUAAGUUACUCUUCCGAGGUAUUCGAGCAUUUUGGUGUCCUAGAGGCAACUGCAGCGCUCCUGCACAGCUUUCUGGGUCACAUGAAUCCUGUGGUGAUGUCUACAUCCGGACCUCAACUUGAAUUGCUGUUUGAUUUAUUAAAACAUUUGGUCUUUACUCGUCCAAGUCCCUGGGUUUUUCGCGAACUCAGUGCAUGCAUGUUAUUAUGCUCACGUUACGGUUGGCUUAUGACAGGAAUGUGUGUUAAUAGUCCAAGUAAUUACUUUAUAUCUGAUCGCGUUCGUUCGGUUUACCGGUUUGGGUCGAAAUCGUGUUUAAUACAGGUCUACGCGGGACUCAUCGAGCUAUGUUUAUGUAGCGAACUGCCUCUACAACCAAAUCAUUUUAAAC